Molecule: ribosomal RNA, 253 nt
Filed under: uncultured bacterium
Lineage: Bacteria
Description: partial 16S ribosomal RNA
Rfam family: Bacterial small subunit ribosomal RNA
Source: RNAcentral
UACGUAGGGUGCGAGCGUUAAUCGGAAUUACUGGGCGUAAAGUGUGCGCAGGUGGCCGCGCAAGUCGAGUGUGAAAUCCCCGGGCUUAACUUGGGAAUUGCGCUCGAAACUACGUGGCUCGAGUGUGGCAGAGGAAGGUGGAAUUCCGCGUGUAGUGGUGAAAUGCGUAGAGAUGCGGAGGAAUACCAGUGGCGAAGGCGACUUCCUGGACCUUAACUGACGCUGAAGCGCGAAAGCAUGGGGAGCGAACGGG